CCAAGAAAAGAUGUCAACAGCGCGACUUGUAACAAUUAUAAGGCCGAGGAGGGUUAUUUGAACACACACCAUUCAAUUAUUAUAAAUGAAAGUCACGUUUUUUAACCGCUCCGGUCUCGUCCCAGCGGAAGUGACGCUAGCACGUCAUCAGAAUACAACAGGUUGCUAACUAACACGCCUCCUAUCAUGUCAGCGCUGUUAUUUGUUCCAAUGUCAUUCAUUCCUUCUCAUUUACAUCAACACGACGAGAGAGACAUUCUGCCGCUAGACAAAGGUCACCGAGCAGCGACGAAGUUUGCAUUUUCGGUAGAGGUCCAGGGAGCCACGAGGGCGGUGCUAAAGAGACGCGGGUUGCUGACCCCCGGCCUACACCCUAGACUGGCCGCCAGUUCAUCACAGGACACAUGAACAAGCCUUCGCCCUCAAAUCAGAGAAAAAUGGCAACAGCAGAGGAUGGAUGUCCCAUAACAAGAAGGUGGAGAAAAAGAAGAAGCUUAUCGACUACGGUGUCGGCACGGACUACAAAGGCGGACCUGCACAAAUUUUCAGGUACCAGAAGGUA
Long non-coding RNA from Entelurus aequoreus (snake pipefish), 562 nucleotides. RefSeq lists it as uncharacterized. The transcript is spliced from 3 exons. The record is from RefSeq and is a predicted model, not a curated record. Lineage: Eukaryota; Metazoa; Chordata; Actinopteri; Syngnathiformes; Syngnathidae.